CAGGUCAGCAGCAGCGGGUUGGGUGGCUGCAACUGCACCAGGGAGGGCAGAUCCUGCCUGUUCCCAGCCCCUUCCAAGAGCACAGGAAGGCUCGGAUCCACAGCUGCAGUUUUGGCUGAUGUAGCCCCGCUACGUAUUGCAGGAGGGUGGGGCUCCUGCCUGUUACGUGAAGCAGGGGGCCUGGAUCUGCUGCCGAGGUUUGAGGUUUGGGCGGCUGCAGUGGCACCCGGGAAGUUUCUGCCCCAAAUCAGAAGGAGUGGGGCUCCCACUGACUCCACAGAGUGUGCAGCCCCAGCCCUCCUCUCUGCUGCAGCCGGGGUAAUGGCAGCAGCUGUUGCCAUCAACUGCAUUUGGAAAUAGAACCUUAAAAGAGGUACUUAAGUUAAAAUGUGGUUUUAGGGUGGGUUCUAACUCAAUACCACUGUGCCCUUAUAAAAAGAGGAGAUUAGGACACAGUCGACAAAGAGGAUGACCAUGUGAGGACGCAGCAAAAAGGCGACCACCUGGGAGCCAAGGAGAGAGGCCUCAGAAGAAACAAAACCUGCCAACCCCUUGAACUCAGACUCUCAGCCUCCAAAAUUGUGAGAAAAUUCUUCUGUUGUUUAAACCAUCCAGUCUGUAGCAUUUUGCUAUGGCAGCCGUAGAAAACUCAUACAAAGGGUAACAGCAAGAGUCUAUUUGUCAAGAUUUCUCCCUAAAGCCCUUUGGCUACUCAGGAAGGCCCUGCGUGAAACUUGCCAAGGAUUCCAUAUGACAGGUUCUCACUCUGUCACCCAGUGGCACAGGCUGGAAGGCAAUGAUGUGAUCACAACUCACUGAAGCCUUGAACUCCUGAACUCAAGAGAUCCUCCCUUCAGCCUCCCGAGUAGCCAGGACUACAGGUGCGCACCACCAUGCCAGACAUGGAGCUGAAGAAGCUGGCAACCCAGAAACAUCAGGGGAAAUAAACCAAAAAGCCCCAACAAAUGGCUGCUUUCUCUAGCUAAGGACCAGAAAAUGGGCAACCUAUCAAGGCGAAGAACUCUUAGACAAUAACCUCUCUAUUCCCAACAAUGCCAUGGAUAAAACUGUGACCUCCCGACACACCAACCGACCUCAAGAGAAAAGACUGAGAGAAGUGCCUAGACUCACUUUUCCCAGGCACUAGAGUCAACAACAAAUUGUUAUUUUUACCUUUCCAAGACAAUUAAAAAAAACUCAAAACACUUUAGUCCCUUUUACCUUCUCCAGCCUUUUGUGCUUGUAUCAUGCAUUUGAGUUAUAUGUACAUUUUAAACCUCAAAAGAUAUUAUUAUUGUUGUGCAGCAUAAAUACUCAUUGAGUUUUCCCCACGUAUUUACAUUUCCCAUGAAUUUUUAUAAUUCUCUGUUUUUCUGUGGUCUCAGUAGAGAUUAUUUCCUUUAAUCUGAAGUCUCCUUUUAGUGUUUCCUUCAGCAUGUGUCUUCUGCUGAUGAAUUCUUUCACUUAUCUUCACGUUUGAUGUUUUUCAAUGGGUACAAAAUUAUUGGUUGGCUGUAAUUUUCUUUUAAUACUGGAAAAAUAUCAUUCUCUUGUUUUCUAGCUCUGUCACUUCUUUUGAAAAGUCAACUGUCAAUAUUGUUAUUGGUCCGUUUAUGGUGAUAUGGAAUUCAUUUGGGGAAUGGAGCUGAUUUUAAGAAAUUUCUCUUUACCUUUGGUUUUUAUCAGUGUGAACAUGAUGUGCUUAGACAUGGCAGUUAAUGCUUGAGGGUCACAGAGUUUCUUGAAUCUGCAGCUUGAAAUUUGAGAAAAUUCUUAUGCAGAUUAUCUUCAAAUAUUCCUUUCCUAUAUUUUCUGCAUUCUCUUCUUUUGCUUCUAUUAAUGUAUUUGUAUUUAUCUUUUCACUCUAACUGUAUUUCACAUGUUUUUGGCUUACAUUUAUUUUUCAUUCUUUCUUGUCUUCAUCCGUUGGUCUCGAUGUUUCCUAGUAACCUAUCUUCCAGUUUACUAAUCCUUUCUUUUUCUGUGUCUAGCAUGCUGUUAGUCUAUCUAUUGAUUUUAUAGUUUCAGAUACAGAUUUUUUUUUCAGUUUUAAAAUUUUCAUUUGAUUUAUAUAUAUGUAUAUAUUCAAUUUGGGGUUAAAUUAUACAUCUUUUUUUUUACUUAUUAGUUAUUUAAAAAUCCAUAUAUCUAACUCUAAUGUCAUUCUUGCCUACAGCCUGUCUGUUGCCUAUUUUUCUCUGGGUUUUCCUUAUUUCAAUCUAUAUAUAUUUCAUCCUAGAUGUCCAUUCAAGUGCAUUACAGAUAUUUUGUUUAAAAAAUUAUACAGGCUCUGAUGUUAGAGAUUAUCUUGAAUCAGUUUAAGAAGUGAGAUAAUUGUUCACUGUGUUGUAAGGUCUAUGUAGAUUGAUUUAUUUCCAGUCUGCUCCCACCCUAUCAUAGACUUUUAGGGGUCUUAACUGAAGGUCUAAGGUAUUUACAAAGGAAGGCUCCUCUUCUUUGGCCAAGUCAAACGACACUUUUUUUUUUCCCUCCCCAGUCCCGUAAAAUGCCAAAAUCUCUGCUUGGCUUUUGGGCCUCUCAGUAGUCAUUUUUCAUUUGGUUUAUUCCCUUCUCAAUUCUUUAAAGCUUUGGUUUAGGCCCAUUUCAUAGCCUAAAAAAUUGGGUGAAGAAAUUGGGAAGAAAAGGCAUACCAAAUACGAGACUCACU
Molecule: long non-coding RNA, 2668 nt
Filed under: Homo sapiens (human)
Lineage: Eukaryota; Metazoa; Chordata; Mammalia; Primates; Hominidae
Description: HSALNT0336318
Source: RNAcentral